This 287-nucleotide ribosomal RNA is filed under the name uncultured bacterium. RNAcentral describes it as "partial 16S ribosomal RNA". It matches the Rfam family "Bacterial small subunit ribosomal RNA", at positions 333 to 617 of the family's 1533-position model. The record is from RNAcentral.
UGAUACCACGGGAGGCAGCAGUGAGGAAUAUUGGUCAAUGGGCGGGAGCCUGAACCAGCCAAGUCGCGUGAGGGAAGACGGUCCUAUGGAUUGUAAACCUCUUUAGGCGGGGAGCAAUGACGGGCACGCGUGUCCGGAGGGAGAGUACCCGCAGAAUAAGCAUCGGCUAACUCCGUGCCAGCAGCCGCGGUAAUACGGAGGAUGCGAGCGUUAUCCGGAUUUAUUGGGUUUAAAGGGUGCGUAGGCGGAUUAUUAAGUCAGCGAUAAAAUGUCCGGGCUCAACACGG